GACGAACGCUGGCGGCGUGCUUAACACAUGCAAGUCGAACGGAAAGGCCCUGCUUUUGUGGGGUGCUCGAGUGGCGAACGGGUGAGUAACACGUGAGUAACCUGCCCUUGACUUUGGGAUAACUUCAGGAAACUGGGGCUAAUACCGGAUAGGAGCUCCUGCUGCAUGGUGGGGGUUGGAAAGUUUCGGCGGUUGGGGAUGGACUCGCGGCUUAUCAGCUUGUUGGUGGGGUAGUGGCUUACCAAGGCUUUGACGGGUAGCCGGCCUGAGAGGGUGACCGGCCACAUUGGGACUGAGAUACGGCCCAGACUCCUACGGGAGGCAGCAGUGGGGAAUAUUGCACAAUGGGCGGAAGCCUGAUGCAGCAACGCCGCGUGCGGAAUGACGGCCUUCGGGUUGUAAACCGCUUUCGCCUGUGACAAAGCGUGAGUGACGGUAAUGGGUAAAGGAGCACCGGCUAACUACGUG
Molecule: ribosomal RNA, 468 nt
Filed under: uncultured bacterium
Lineage: Bacteria
Description: partial 16S ribosomal RNA
Rfam family: Bacterial small subunit ribosomal RNA
Source: RNAcentral